UUCUGUCAGAGCAAUCAGCUGCUCCCCUAAACUGGGUCGAUUAUGCUCGAUCUCAUUCACUUAUUGAAAAAUAAUAGUUAUAAGUUAAAUUGUCUUUAGUAAAACUGGCAAAUAAAAUGAUAACUUAUCAUCUCAAAAUAUGCCACACAUUCAGAGCGAGGCGUCUGUUUUAUUCGUUGCGAUACGUAUCAAAAUCUGCAUCUGCCGAUGGCGCCUCUCAAAAUUAUUGCAUGAAUCUUGUCAAGCGAUAUGAUAAGGAAAAUUUCUUAUGCACAUUACUGUUAAAGAAUCCCGAGCGUAGGUUUGCGCUGGCCAUCAGGGCACUGAACGUCGAAAUCGCGCGCAUUUCUGAUACCGUAUCCGAUGACAAAAUUGGCCAAAUGCGUUUGAAGUUCUGGGAAGAUACAUUGGACAAGCUGUAUAAAAACGAUUCUCAGGCCAUACCUGAGCAACCUGUUGUCCAAGAGGUUAAGCAGGUGAUCGAUAGUCAAAAGCUAAGCAAACGGUACUUCCAGCGAUUGAUUUCUUCCCGACGAAACGCAAACCUCCGGUUUGUGACCACCAAAGAAUUAGAAGAGUACGCUGAGAAUACCGUCUCGAGUGUGAUGUAUUUGUUACUGGAAGCUCAUGGCGUCAAGAAUGUACACGCCGAUCACGCAGCGUCGCAUCUUGGCAAAGCGCAAGGAAUAGUGAAUCUGCUCCGAUCGAUUCCUCGACAGGAGCGAAGAAGUGCGGUACCCGUACCGCAAGAAGUUCUGAUGCAGCACGGUGUCAGCCAGGAGCAUGUGCUGCGAAACCGUAAAGAUGACAAAGGAGUAGAGGAAGUUAUCUUUCAGCUGGCCGGUCUCGCCAAUCAGCACCUUGAAAAAGCGCGCAAUCUGUGGGGUUCGGUACCGAAGCGAGCGAAGCCUGUCUUUCUGCCGGGCGUUGCAACCGGGCGCUUCUUGGAACGGCUCCGUAGGGUAAAUUUUCACCUGACGGAUCCUAACUUGUUACGAACCGACGCAAUGCUUCCGUUAGCGAUUUACUGGAGCUAUUUCCGGAGAAAUUUUUAAGCAGGAAGGAAAGAACUUUCAACGGGCUAAUAAAUGUUCAUCCGUUUUUGAUGCUAUUAUAGAUAUACACUGAUGUAGGUGCGAUAUACGGUGGUAACAAUUGCAUCAACACGUUUUCAUUCUCUUUGUUCGCCGAUCUGCAAAACCAUUGCAAAAUACUCUGGAAAAUUUGUCCACCUCCAUUUAUUCCGCAGAAUGACCACACACCAUAAACUGACGGGUUCGAAUUGUGCUUCGGUUGCCGAGUAUUAUCCGACUUGCACUGUGGAUAUGCGUAUUCUCGAGCUUCCCACUCAGAAUACAUUCAAGAAGUGAUAUGUGACACUACUAGCUUAGAUUAUACUCGGUAUGACUUUUGGUCCUUUUUUAAAUCUCUUCACUUUGUAGAAUUUAUAUAUGACGGAUUUCAUGCCAACUAGUUUUAGGAGUUCGCAGCACCAUCUCAGAUAGUAGUGAAACGUUGUGGGUGUAAA
Molecule: RNA transcript, 1528 nt
Organism: Toxorhynchites rutilus septentrionalis
Lineage: Eukaryota; Metazoa; Arthropoda; Insecta; Diptera; Culicidae
Gene: sicily
Gene name: NADH dehydrogenase (ubiquinone) complex I, assembly factor 6 homolog
Exons: 4
Source: RefSeq, a predicted model, not a curated record